Molecule: transfer RNA, 79 nt
Filed under: Lysobacterales bacterium
Lineage: Bacteria; Pseudomonadati; Pseudomonadota; Gammaproteobacteria; Lysobacterales
Description: tRNA-Ser
Source: RNAcentral
GGCCGGGAAGAUGACCAGUGUCCGGUAACUGGCGGCUUGGGAGAAGCCUGGGUGCAGGUUCGAAUCCUGCCCUCGGUCG